Molecule: long non-coding RNA, 970 nt
Organism: Lolium perenne
Lineage: Eukaryota; Viridiplantae; Streptophyta; Magnoliopsida; Poales; Poaceae
Source: RefSeq, a predicted model, not a curated record
AGCCACAACCAUGAAAAUGGCGCGAAUGAAAUUUUGUGCUUGGAUUCGGCAUCUGAAGUUGUGAAUUUGAUAGCUAGGUCGGAAACGCGCUACUAUUAUAAGUUCACUGUCUCCAUCGGAGAGACCCAGCAAGCAAAGAGAUCACAGAGCAGUACACCGCCGGUCGCUCUCCUUGUCCCCGGAUGCAGCCGAGCAGCCGGCGACCCGUCCGGCACGGCGCCGACCCCGGGAGCCCAUUGGUUCUUGACCGGGCUUGCUCAUCCUACAGAAUCACGCACGCCAUGCUCUCCUGCUUCUGUGAUAGUACAAGCAUAUUCUGCAAUUGGAUCGGAUCCCUGCUAUAAAUAAAGCCGAGGCCUCUGCACGCACGCACACCGCGAUCGAUGAUCACACGCAAAUGAACAGCAGCGUCUAGCGGUAGAUAGUCUUCUCGCCUCUCCGCCCUUGGCACUACUUCCGGUGUGGGGUGUGGUUGUCGUCGGCGGUGUCCGCCACGGAUGAUGUCUUGCUUUCAGUUUCAGGGGGCCAAGGUCGUCGCCGUUGACGAGGAGCGAGAAGAGCCAGCAGCAGCAGCGACGGCGGCGGGGACACGCCGGCUCAUGAAGUUGAAGGUGAUCUUGAUGGGCCUGGUCCAUACGGCCCGGAAGACGUUCGAGCGCUCGAUUCCGGCUGUCAGGACCGGAGGGAGUACAUCAGAUGAAGUUACAGGCGUGCUGUUCUGCUCAGAGCUCAGUGGGACGCCGAUGAUUCUGUUUUGCUCCAGUAACUCGUACAGUCGUAUGAUUUCACAUAGAUUGUACAGUUCGGUUGUUUCGACUAGACAAUCUGAUUCGCUUGUGUUUAUCGCGAAACAUCGCUAGGCAUACUGGAGUAGUUCGCAUCUCAUGCUCCAAAUGUUCAGUUAACUGGACUACAUGGUGUGGGUUCAUUUGCCUGUCUAUUCCUGAAUCUCCUGUACUUGUACUUUUCA